GUUGAUGCGGAAACGCUGUAGUUGUGGUUUCCUCAGAACCAGCUACAUGGCUAAAUAUCCCAGAUAACACUCAAACGUAGCCUUUGUUAGUACGAGGACAACGUUUUACAGCUAAAUCAUAACCUUUCGGGAGGUUAUGUUGAGUCGUUAACAUUUUCAAACUUUCACGUCAUUUCACUCUGUGUCUGGAGUGAGCAGGAUGCUAACAGCUGUCGUUAGGAAACUGCAGGAAAUUAGCUAGUUUAGCUAGCAGAGACCACAGACAGGUGACUUUAUGUCUCUCGAUAUCGGCUCUUAAUGCUCGUAUUGGACUUGAAUAACAUCUUCGUAAUGGACACCGAGGCAAUAGUGAUCCGUAUAAAGACGCCGUCGGGGGACAUGGACUCGUCCGUGGACUGUCCGUCUCUUCUUAACUUUAAUGAUUUGCUGGUCGCCAUCAGAGAUGUCAUGCCUGAAGCCACUGUCACUGCCUUUGAAUAUGAAGAUGAGGUUGGAGACAGAAUCACUGUAAGAAGUGAUGAAGAGCUCAAGGCCAUGUUGUCAUAUUACUACAACACAAUGAAUGAACAACGCAUGAAUGGACUGCUGCCAGACCCUCUCCAGAUUUUUCCAAGAGCCGGCAAGACUCCAGGGAUCCGGAACAUACAUGGCCUGAAGGUUAAUACAAGACCUAACCCAGCCAAUGACUGCACUCAUACUGUCCCGGACUCCAUGACAAACAACAGUUUAAAAAAAUCAUCCGCUGAGCUGAAGAGGAUCUUGUCCAAUGGGCAGAUAAAUGCCUUAGAUAUCCACUACCAAGAGCAGCUCGGCCAUGGAAAUGGAGGCACAGUUUACAAAGCGUACCAUGUUCAUGGGAAGAGGGUUUUAGCUGUCAAGGUCAUUCCACUGGAUAUCACUGUGGAACUACAGAAGCAGAUUAUGUCAGAAUUAGAAAUUCUCUACAAGUGUGAUUCACCCUACAUCAUCACUUUCUUUGGUGCCUUUUUCGUUGAGAACAGGAUAUCCAUAUGCACCGAAUUCAUGGACGGUGGUUCUCUGGACGUGUUCAAAAGGAUACCAGAGCAUGUUCUGGGAAGGAUCGCAGUUUCAGUAGUCAAAGGCCUGACGUAUCUGUGGAGCCUUAAGAUACUUCACAGAGAUGUCAAGCCUUCCAAUAUGCUGGUGAACACCCGAGGACAAGUCAAGCUCUGUGACUUUGGUGUCAGCACACAGUUGGUGAAUUCCAUUGCCAAAACCUACGUGGGAACUAACGCAUAUAUGGCGCCAGAGAGGAUAUCUGGAGAACAGUAUGGUAUCCAUGCAGAUGUGUGGAGUGUGGGAAUCUCUUUCAUGGAGUUGGCACUGGACAUGUUCCCCUAUCCACAGAUUCAGAAAAACCAAGGAUCUUUAAUGCCUCUCCAGUUACUGCAAUGCAUCGUUGAUGAGGAUCCUCCAGUUCUGCCUGUGGACCAGUUCAGUGAAAAGUUUGUUCACUUCAUCACUCAGUGUAUGCGGCGGCAACCCAAAGAGAGGCCUGCCCCUAAUAACCUCAUGGAUCAUCCCUUCAUCACGCAGUACAACGAUGGCAACACGGAGGUCGUGUCGAUGUGGGUUUGUCGCUGCUUGGAGGACAGACGGUCUCAGCAGGCUCAAGGGCGCGUCUGACGGGAGUCCCCACGAUGGACCUGGACUUUCGAUCCUAAGCCUUGGACACUAAUCAAAGUCUUCAGGAUCAAAUUCCUUUUCUAGGUUUCUUUGCCCUGAAGGAAGGUGUUGUUGCCAAAAUGCAGUUGUAUGAAGAGCAGGUGUGAUGGGAAUAGACGAAGAUGAAGCUGUGAGACUGUAACCAGAGCUGAAAUGUCUUUCUCUCUCAGAUCAUUUCAUUUACAGUAUCCUGAAAGGUUAUUGUGGAAUUAAUGAUCAAUAACACCCAAAAGAAAAUCUGGAUACUUUACCAUCAAGCCUUUAUUGAACCAGUUUUAGGUGAUUUUUAGUUUUUCAAGAAGCUGCAGAGCAUGGAUGCUAAAAGCUGCUUCGCUUUGCUUAGUUUUGAUUCAGGGAGUAAAAGCUGUUCUCCGAUGACCCGAAGCGUCCGGAUGCACCGUAUCUUACAAAUACAUCAGAGCUGUGUUUAAGCCCAAGACCAUUUAGUGUUUUAUAGACGAGUAGUGGGUUUUUACAGUCUUAUCGUUUGACUCACAGAAGGGCCAAACGGUGAUUUAAGGGCCGAAGGUAUGUGCUCCACUUUCUUGGUGUUGGGAGUGGACACUGAUUUGUAAGUUUUAGUUUGGUGAAUUUAAAACAAGCACCACAUUUGAAUAGAUUUUUGAGGCUAAAGACAAUGUGUUUAUUCCAAAGCCUUUUCAUCCUGUUAAAGGUCCAGUGUAUAAAAUUCAGGUUAAAUUAUAUGAAUUUGGUAGAAAGAGUGCCGUUAUCUGAUUGUAUGAAUUGUUGUUUUUCAUUAACCCAAGAAUGAGCCUUUUAUAUUUAUAUCAGAAGCAGGGUCGGCUCUACAGAGACAGCCAUUUUGGACCGUAAUGUUUUACAGUAGCCCACAAUGGACUAAACUACUAAAUUUCUUUUGAGUUGUCAUGGUAAUUAAAGUCUACAUAGGUUCUCAAACACACUUGAAGGGGAAGGGUGAGGGAUUUUCCGCUUGCAUCUUUACCACUAAAUGUUGCAGGAUUUUCCACACUGUACCUUUAAGCAGCACUGCAACAUUACUGAAACAUCAACACUUUAUUAUGUGUUGUCAACACUCAUCUGGAGGAAGCAGGGUUUCUUUAUUUUUGAACUUUUAUUUCCAUUUGCACACUCAUGCCUGACAUUGAACGCAGCUGGCUGAACUGUUGGAGAGGAAAUCUGCUGAAGCAGUUCUCCACUUUUGUUCAGCAGCUGUUUGUUUUUUUAUCCAUUAAGAAUAAGAGAAACUACAGACAGAUGGAAUCAUAACAGGAACCAUAACUCUCCCUCUCUUUAUGAAACACCAUUUUUCUCAGUUUAAAUUACUGUUUUAUCCACAUCGUCCCCAGAUAAUCCUUUACUCUCUGUACAAUGCAGAGCCGUUUUAUAUUAUUGGAUUGCUCUCAGUGAGAUCACUGCUGAGGUAAAACAAAUGCAGUGCAAAUAACACCAAAGAUCAGUGACAGGCCAAAUGGUGAAUUAUAUGGAUUUGUCACGACUGAGGGAAACAUAAUGGUUGAAGUGAAUAAAAUGAAUUGAUCUGACCUGGUGUUUACGUGCAGCUGGUGAAAUGUGUUGUGCUUAAGUGCAAUUAAAUCCCAUUACUUCCACAAAGGCACAGUAAACAAAGCCUACAGUGGAGCCGUGUUCAUUGUGAGCAGUGCUGAAAGCGAGUGUAACGGCGGUGCAUUAGCCUCAGCAGCAGCACUAUUUUAUUUUAUUACCUGGUCCGAUGUGGUUGUAUCAUAUGUUGUUGUGAAAACAGAGUUCCAUUUCUGGGCUUUAACUGUAAAUCACUCAAACAUCCGCUCCAUUAAGUCAUUAAUAACCUGUUGAGGUUUCUGUUCAUUGUACAUGUCCUAAGCUAACAGGUCAUCAUUAUUUUUGGAACAUUUAAUAGUUUAAUAGCUUAUUUCCAGGGUGAAGGCAGGAGAGGCUUGAUUCUAGUGUUCUGAAUCUCUGACUAUCAUGGAGUUGCACACUUCUUUAGGGCUGCAACCAUUAUUAAAUUCAUCGAUUAUUAAUCGAUGAUUAGUUGUCAACUAUUUUAAUGUUAUUGUGAUACUUUAAUGUUAUUUUUUUAAUAAAUUGAACAAGUUUUCUGAUUUUUCAGCUUCUUAAAUGUGAAUAUUUUCUGUUUUCUUUGUUCCAUAUAACAAAGAAAUCAUGGUUUGUGGACAAAACAAGACAUUUUCUGGUUUGUGAAACACCAACCAACAUUUUUCACCCUUUUUGGACAUUUUAUGGACCAAACAAACACUUGAUUAAUCGGAAAAGUAAUUGACAGAUGAUGAAAAUAAUCGUUAAUUGCAGCUCUACACUUGCAUACAAUGUAUGUACCCACUCACAAAACUUAAAUCUCCUUCCCACAGUGGAAAAACCAACAAACCUGGCUUGUGCCUGCAGUGCUAAUGGACACCACCGUCACCAUUUAAGUCAGUUUUCCAGUCUGUCGUUAUAAUUUGCACCAUUCGGUAAUGAUCCAAUAUUGUUCUUUUGCUUCACUUUGAAAUGGGGACUUUAUGAAAGACAUAAAAGCUGUGUUUCCAUCGAGUGGAACGGUUCAGUUUUGUACAGUAUGGUACAUAUUUAUCUGCCUUUCCAUUAGCAAUAAUAUUAAAAUAACCAGAGUAAAAAUGUACAGUAAGGGCAGGGGUGGAGCCACAUUUGUCGCCAGUGUUUCCUCAACGCAUGCAGUCUAUUUUCAUACAAAGCUUGACGUCUUGUUGAAACAAACAGCCACAAACUGAGCAGGAAAAAAGAUCGAGCACAUGGAUUACAGUAGCUUCAUUCAGAGGUGAUUUGAGCACACGUGGACACAUUUCCCAGCUGCAUGAGUUUAGUCCAUCCACAGGACACAUUGGAGACUGUCUCCUCAUCUUACGCCAUCUGUCCUGUGGCAGUUUCGGGAUGUUUUUUAACCCGCUGAUCGUAUGCAGUCACAGUAGAUGAAGGAUAUUUUUGUGCAACAGUGGGUUGUGUGGGGAAAAUGUUGGUUCCAUAAAUGUCUUUAAAACAAAACAAUAGAAACAAUUACAUCACAAGAUGCAUUUGAAGGUUUUGAUAGAAGCUAGUAAAUGUCAAACCAAAAUGUUAUAUAAUAUUGACUAGUUGAUAAAGCAUUUUUAAGUUAGCACAGCCUGUGUCACCCGUCUUGUUUUGCUUGUUUAUCAGCAGUGUGAACACAUUGAUCCGGCGGUUUCUGUCCGCACGGGUCAGAGGAGUUUAUCAGGUUACAAUGUUGUGUGCCUCUCAUUUUGUCCUCGUCUACAUCAGACCACCUCAUUAGUUCUUUUUUUUUUAAUUGAAUACUUUUCCACAUGCGUGACAUUUGGCUCUUAUGUCACAGCUGUCGUGUUUCAGUUUGUGAGGUUUACACUUGUUGGGGUUUAUGAGGCAUAGGGUUUUUUGUAUGAAGUUUUAGGAAGCAAGAUGUCAGGGCCCAGUGUGUAGAAAUUGAAUACUUACCUAAUAAUUACCUGAAAAUACAGAAGCGUUAUAUCAGUCAUUCACAGAGACUGUGUCAGGACUCACAGUUGGGUUUCACAGUCACCAAAUAAGCAUGCUUUUCUGAAAUAAUGUGCAUAAUCUUAGGUUAAGAUUAAGACAUGAAUUUAUCAAACUUUGAAAUUGAAUCAUAAUAGUCGUGAUCUAUAAAAAAAAUCACACUUCUUUUACUUGUAUCACAUUCCUACUGGACAAAAAGUAAUUUAAUCCUGAGUUAAAACGGGUUUUUCACCAGUGGGAGUGUGUUAAUCUGCAUUCAUUCCUGGGUAUUUAUCAGCUUCUGCUCUGAUUGUCAUUAGAAACUGGUGAAACAAUGUCUUCAUCUGCUCUGUUUUUGCCUCUGACAUUUACUCAAAAUCCUCCACACUGGUCCUUUAAUAUAACGCUGAUCAUUAAUAAUCUUCCAAAUUUGAAGAUUCCUGCAUUUGUGAAAAAAUAUCAGUGUGGUUUUUCCAAUAGAUGCACAAUAUAUAUAUAUACAUACUGUAUAUACUCUGUAUUUUAUAUUUUAAUUAUACUCCUCUAAUUCUCACAGUGGGUAAGUAAUAUUCUAUCAUACUGUUAGUGCAUCUGAGACAGCUGCCUGAUAUGAAAUUGGUCGUAAAUGUAACUAAUGCAAAUGCAGUCAAGUUAAAGCAAUUAAACGUGUAGAAUAACGUGUGUGUGUGCCAUGUGGCCACUUGCUAAAAUGUAAAAUUAAACCACAAUUAAAAGAGUAUUUCAUGUUUCUGAA
This is an RNA transcript of Solea senegalensis (Senegalese sole), 5905 nucleotides long. It is a transcript of the gene named mitogen-activated protein kinase kinase 5, with no coding region annotated. Lineage: Eukaryota; Metazoa; Chordata; Actinopteri; Pleuronectiformes; Soleidae. The record is from RefSeq and is a predicted model, not a curated record. The transcript is spliced from 23 exons.